RNAcentral lists this ribosomal RNA (1019 nucleotides) under Pleurocordyceps sinensis. Its description in RNAcentral is "SSU rRNA". It matches the Rfam family "Eukaryotic small subunit ribosomal RNA", at positions 76 to 1106 of the family's 1831-position model. The record is from RNAcentral. Lineage: Eukaryota; Fungi; Ascomycota; Sordariomycetes; Hypocreales; Polycephalomycetaceae.
AUACGGCGAAACUGCGAAUGGCUCAUUAUAUAAGUUAUCGUUUAUUUGAUAGCACUUUACUACUUGGAUAACCGUGGUAAUUCUAGAGCUAAUACAUGCUAAAAAUCCCGACUUCGGAAGGGAUGUAUUUAUUAGAUUAAAAGCCAAUGCCCUCUGGGCUCUCUGGUGAAUCAUGAUAACUGCUCGAAUCGCAGGGCCUCGUGCCGGCGAUGGUUCAUUCAAAUUUCUUCCCUAUCAACUUUCGAUGUUUGGGUAUUGGCCAAACAUGGUUACAACGGGUAACGGAGGGUUAGGGCUCGACCCCGGAGAAGGAGCCUGAGAAACGGCUACUACAUCCAAGGAAGGCAGCAGGCGCGCAAAUUACCCAAUCCCGACACGGGGAGGUAGUGACAAUAAAUACUGAUACAGGGCUCUUUCGGGUCUUGUAAUUGGAAUGAGUACAAUUUAAAUCCCUUAACAAGGAACAAUUGGAGGGCAAGUCUGGUGCCAGCAGCCGCGGUAAUUCCAGCUCCAAUAGCGUAUAUUAAAGUUGUUGUGGUUAAAAAGCUCGUAGUUGACCCUUGGGCCUGGCUGGCCGGUCCGCCUCACCGCGUGUACUGGUCCGGCCGGGCCUUUCCCUCUGUGGAACCCCAUGCCCUUCACUGGGCGUGGCGGGGAAACAGGACUUUUACUUUGAAAAAAUUAGAGUGCUCCAGGCAGGCCUAUGCUCGAAUACAUUAGCAUGGAAUAAUAGAAUAGGACGUGCGGUUCUAUUUUGUUGGUUUCUAGGACCGCCGUAAUGAUUAAUAGGGACAGUCGGGGGCAUCAGUAUUCAAUUGUCAGAGGUGAAAUUCUUGGAUCUAUUGAAGACUAACUACUGCGAAAGCAUUUGCCAAGGAUGUUUUCAUUAAUCAAGAACGAAAGUUAGGGGAUCGAAGACGAUCAGAUACCGUCGUAGUCCUGACCGUAAACUAUGCCGACUAGGGAUCGGACGAUGUUAUUUUUUGACUCGUUCGGCACCUUACGAGAAAUCAAAGUGC